This is a long non-coding RNA of Brassica oleracea var. oleracea, 1020 nucleotides long. RefSeq lists it as uncharacterized. Lineage: Eukaryota; Viridiplantae; Streptophyta; Magnoliopsida; Brassicales; Brassicaceae. The record is from RefSeq and is a predicted model, not a curated record. The transcript is spliced from 3 exons.
AGACCCUUUGUCGAUUCUCUUUCUCUGAUAAGAGGUGGCUUAAUGUAUUAUCAGGCCACCCACCUGAAACUAAUCCAGCAUCUAUAACCUGCUCGCUCCUUCCCUACGUCUCUCGACGGUGUCGUUGUUGCUGUGACGUUUUAUGUUCACCACCCCUCUGGCCAGUCAACGGCAUAACAGUUUGGGGUUGCAUUCAAUCGACAUAAUCACCCUUCUCAUUAAUGCCAUUGAUCCAGAGACCACAACCUCCACUACGCCGCAUUCAUGACAACCCCUUCUUCCUCCAUGUUUAGUGAAUCUAGACCUAUAAAUAUGAGAGCAGGCUUCGUUGAUAUGCAUCACUUGCUCCCUCUCAAACAUUAUAAUCCUUAUAGAAUCACUAAUCAGCGAUGGCAACCUCCUUCGUUUUCAUCGUCGAUUGGAAAGCCGGCCGCUGUAACAACGUCGUUGAAGUCCGUUUGUUGAGGUUUUCGGAGGCAUGUAAUGACAAAGUUGAUAAGCCGCCGAAGCAAAGCAUCUAUUGGUAAUCGCGAUAUAGGGUACAACCAUACAAAUGUUGAAAACCGCGGGGAAAGCAAGCUCCCCGUUCAUCUCCGAUGUUUCCGAUGUUGUGGGCAUCACUUAUACGAUUUCAGUUUCGGUUGACACCAUUCAUUUAACUUCAAAGCAUCAGACCAUUACCAUUUCCUGAAUCUUCAAUGAACGUCAGCUUCGUCCAAUCCCAGACUUUGGUGAUGAUGGAAGCAACGGACUCGGAGACAAUAUACACAGAGCAACUUCACUUACAUCCACGCUGAGUCUUGGACACGCCCACAAUGCUAAUGAGCCAUAUGUGGACCCGGUGGCUAUGCAUCCACUAAGACUGCUCCCACCAAGUAGCAAUGCAUCUAAGAAGGCACACAGCGGUUAGCUUCAAGAGGAUACAAUCUCCUUUUGAAUUUAUUUAGUUUCUCCUACGUCUCCCAGUCAAUUUACUUUAAAUAUAAGCAUAUUUCCUACUUAAUCAAAUAUGAGGUUGGU